This 254-nucleotide ribosomal RNA is filed under the name uncultured bacterium. RNAcentral's name for it is "partial 16S ribosomal RNA". It matches the Rfam family "Bacterial small subunit ribosomal RNA", at positions 524 to 776 of the family's 1533-position model. The record is from RNAcentral.
UACGGGGGGGGCAAGCGUUGUUCGGAAUUACUGGGCGUAAAGGGCUCGUAGGCGGCCAACUAAGUCAGACGUGAAAUCCCUCGGCUUAACCGGGGAACUGCGUCUGAUACUGGAUGGCUUGAGUUUGGGAGAGGGAUGCGGAAUUCCAGGUGUAGCGGUGAAAUGCGUAGAUAUCAGGAGGAACACCGGUGGCGAAGGCGGAUCUCUGGGCCAUUACUGACGCUGAGUGAGCGAAAGCCAGGGGAGCAAACGGG